GAUGAAGAACGUAGCGAAAUGCGAUAAGUAGUGUGAAUUGCAGAAUUCAGUGAAUCAUCGAAUCUUUGAACGCACAUUGCGCCCCUUGGUAUCCCGAGGGGCAUGCCUGUUCGAGCGUCAUUUCACCACUCAAGCCUGGCUUGGUGUUGGGCGACGUCCCCUUUGGGGACGCGCCUCGAAACGCUCGGCGGCGUGGCACCGGCUUUAAGCGUAGCAGAAUCUUUCGCUUUGGAAGUCGGGGCCCCGUCUGCCGGAAGACCUACUCGCAAGGUUGACCUCGGAUCAGGUAGGGAUACCCGCUGAACUUAAGCAUAUCAAUAAGCGGAGGA
RNAcentral lists this unclassified non-coding RNA (329 nucleotides) under soil metagenome. RNAcentral describes it as "partial contains 5.8S ribosomal RNA, internal transcribed spacer 2, and large subunit ribosomal RNA". The stretch from base 1 to 120 matches the Rfam family "5.8S ribosomal RNA", at positions 35 to 154 of the family's 154-position model. The record is from RNAcentral.